UACAGGUAAUGAGGGUGCGGAUGCUACUAGAAGCCAAAUUACUUCCAUUUUUUUCUGGGAGCCAAAUUACUUGUGUUUGUGGGAAAUCAGCUGUCAGGGGUCCAGGAGCAUGUGUGUCUGAAUGAUGCUCAUUGAUGGCAUAGUUACAUGAAAAAUUGGAAACUGCAAAUGGAAUCAAGUUGAAGGAGGCUGCUAUCCUGCAUUACAUGUUGACAAUGUUCCCAGACUAAUCUCCAAGAAGGCAUAGGUGUUGCUGCAAGCCAACUGAGGAUGUGCAGCAACGCUUUAACUAGGGAGUUUGACAGAAUUGGUACUCCUCCCCUGAUAUUGUGAACAUGCCGGUCAGAGAAGCAGUUUAAGUUGCAUGGUCUGUAUGUCUGUGCGCUCAGCCUUUGCCCAAGUUAUGCCAAAAUUCUAAAACAAUGAAGAAUGACAUGUUGUGACCAUAUAUACCAUUCCACUGCAGUAGUUAACCUUUGAAAAGAGUAUUGUUGAAAGUUUCUUAUUUUGAUUGGCCUGCCAAAGCCAAACCAGACACGGGACGACAAAGAGUCUCAUGUUGUUUUGCCAAUAGAGACCCAUUAUGAUGAUUUUUAGACAUGAGGAAUGGUAGUUUCCAUGUGUUCCUCUAUUCCCUAUUGUUGACAAGUUAUUUCUUCGGUACUUCUAACGCUGACGUUGGUAUUCCUUUUUCGGUGGUUUAUCUUACGGAUCUACAGACACAGAAAUCGUACGUGUUUAUGUGUGCUGGUGCUGGUCGGGUACUCAUCAAAUCAGAUGCUUGGAGGACACAGGUCUUGGAGCUGUUCCGGUAGCGAAUUCCGUGGGAAACUUCCGCUCCACCUGGGCUUCAGAAAUCGCAUUCACCCGCCAAUUUCUUCUACUCGC
Molecule: long non-coding RNA, 888 nt
Organism: Hordeum vulgare subsp. vulgare (domesticated barley)
Lineage: Eukaryota; Viridiplantae; Streptophyta; Magnoliopsida; Poales; Poaceae
Exons: 3
Source: RefSeq, a predicted model, not a curated record